GACGAACGCUGGCGGCGUGCUUAACACAUGCAAGUCGAACGGAAAGACCCUGCUUUUGUGGGGUGCUCGAUUGGCGAACGGGUGAGUAACACGUGAGUAACCUGCCCUUGACUUUGGGAUAACUUCAGGAAACUGGGGCUAAUACCGGAUAGGAGCUCCUGCUGCAUGGUGGGGGUUGGAAAGUUUCGGCGGUUGGGGAUGGACUCGCGGCUUAUCAGCUUGUUGGUGAGGUAGUGGCUUACCAAGGCUUCGACGGGUAGCCGGCCUGAGAGGGGGACCGGCGACAUGGGGACUGAGAUACGGACCAGACGCCUACGGGAGGCAGCAGUGGGGAAUAUUGCGCAAUGGGCGGAAGCCUGAUGCAGCAACGCCGCGUGCGGGAUGACGGCCUUCGAGUUGUAAACCGAUUUCGCCUGUGACGAAGCGUGAGUGACGGUAAUGGGUAAAGAAGCACCGGCUAACUACGUG
This 468-nucleotide ribosomal RNA is filed under the name uncultured bacterium. RNAcentral describes it as "partial 16S ribosomal RNA". It matches the Rfam family "Bacterial small subunit ribosomal RNA", at positions 28 to 507 of the family's 1533-position model. The record is from RNAcentral.